GAGGGUAUAGCUCAACUGAUAAAGUGCAUGCUUAUUAUGCAUGAGGUCUUGGGUUCAAUCCCCAGUACCUCCA
RNAcentral lists this transfer RNA (73 nucleotides) under Camelus bactrianus (Bactrian camel). It matches the Rfam family "tRNA". Rfam says of the family: Transfer RNA (tRNA) molecules are approximately 80 nucleotides in length. Their secondary structure includes four short double-helical elements and three loops (D, anti-codon, and T loops). Lineage: Eukaryota; Metazoa; Chordata; Mammalia; Artiodactyla; Camelidae. The record is from Rfam by way of RNAcentral. RNAcentral also lists the same sequence under 2 other names.